GACGAACCGUGCGAACGUUGUUCGGAAUCACUGGGCUUAAAGGGUGCGUAGGCGGGCGCGUCAGUCAGGGGUGAAAUCCCACGGCCCAACCGUGGAAGUGCCUCUGAUACUGCGCGCCUGGAGGGGGAUAGGGGCGUGCGGAACUUCCGGUGGAGCGGUAAAAUGCGUAGAUAUCGGAAGGAACACCGGUGGCGAAAGCGGCGCGCUGGAUCCCUACUGACGCUGAGGCACGAAAGCCAGGGGAGCAAACGGG
Molecule: ribosomal RNA, 253 nt
Filed under: uncultured bacterium
Lineage: Bacteria
Description: partial 16S ribosomal RNA
Rfam family: Bacterial small subunit ribosomal RNA
Source: RNAcentral